CAGUUUAGAACAGGCACCCCCAAACUCAGCCCUCCAGAUGUUUUGGGACUACAAUUCCCAUCAUCCCAUGGUCCUGUUAGCUAGGGAUGAUGGGAGUUGUAGUCCCAAAACAUCUGGAGGGCCGAGUUUGGGGAUGGCUGGUUUAGAAUG
Molecule: non-coding RNA, 150 nt
Organism: Podarcis lilfordi (Lilford's wall lizard)
Lineage: Eukaryota; Metazoa; Chordata; Lepidosauria; Squamata; Lacertidae
Source: the annotation of a GenBank genome assembly